Molecule: ribosomal RNA, 477 nt
Filed under: uncultured organism
Description: partial 16S ribosomal RNA
Rfam family: Bacterial small subunit ribosomal RNA
Source: RNAcentral
GUACACUCCUGCGGGAGGCAGCAGUGGGGAAUUUUGGACAAUGGGCGAAAGCCUGAUCCAGCAAUGCCGCGUGUGUGAAGAAGGCCUUCGGGUUGUAAAGCACUUUUGUCCGGAAAGAAAUCCUUGGCUCUAAUACAGUCGGGGGAUGACGGUACCGGAAGAAUAAGCACCGGCUAACUACGUGCCAGCAGCCGCGGUAAUACGUAGGGUGCGAGCGUUAAUCGGAAUUACUGGGCGUAAAGCGUGCGCAGGCGGUUUGCUAAGACCGAUGUGAAAUCCCCGGGCUCAACCUGGGAACUGCAUUGGUGACUGGCAGGCUAGAGUAUGGCAGAGGGGGGUAGAAUUCCACGUGUAGCAGUGAAAUGCGUAGAGAUGUGGAGGAAUACCGAUGGCGAAGGCAGCCCCCUGGGCCAAUACUGACGCUCAUGCACGAAAGCGUGGGGAGCAAACAGGAUUAGAUACCCUGGUAGUCCCAUG